CCCCCUCGCGCUUCCCGCCCGGCCCCUCCAACCUCCUCCACCGGCCAGAAUCCCGGUUUCUCGGUCCGGGGAGUGGGAGGAUGGAGGAAGCGAGGGAGGAAGGAGAGAAGGAAAAGGUGAACAGGCGAGCAGGGCGCUGUGCCAGGGAGCAGCAUCCAGGACCGUAAUUGUGGGCAAGGGCGGGGGACGUUCUGGGCGAGUGUGCCCGAGACCAGGCGCGUACACGUGUGUGUGUGUGUGUGUGUGUGUGUGUGUGUGUGUGUGCGCGCGUGUAUGUGUAAGAGAGAGGAGCGGAGCCUACCAUGCGCUUCCCUGGUGCGGAUCGCGGGAGAGCCCAAUCACAGGGCGAGCUGGACCUGGCUGUGAUCAUUUAUAAUCCUUGACUCCUCCGCUCAGCCACUUGUCAAGAUGACAGGAGUUAAGGAAGGCAAUAAGAAUAGAGGAGGCAUGAACACACAAGAACUUGGGAAGAGAGGAAUGUGAGCUGUGAAAAACCAAGCAGAAGUGUUUCCAUCUCAAUGGCACUAUGAGCUGGAGAAGUCAUAGGAAACCAAAGCACUCAAGAGGAGACACAGCUAUCAAGAACUCCUGUCCACCGGGCAUUGGUGGAAGGAGAUGAAGCCAUUUUUACCAACCUGAACCUUUUUUCCGUGGGGCACUAUACAGCUUAACCUAUGAACUCUGUCGAGCCGUUGAGGGCUCCUAAACAAUUUCUUAGCACGGAGUUCCUCUUUUCAGCAAACCCUGCUUCUCACUGAGUACAGAGUCGAAGCAAUCCUACAGCACUAACAUUUCAAUUGUUGCAUAUGGAGCCCAGUACAUAAAGGACUCCCCAAAGAGAGCGGUUUAUAACUGGAUUAUAGCUGCUCCACACAUUUAACUUUCCAUGAAUAGUUUCUGACGUUUUGAAGCACCCCAAGUCAUAACUUUUCUAUCCACGCAUGUAGGAAAGCAGUCACUGAUUGUGCGUUUCUUCAUUGACCAGAAUACAAACAUGGAUGAGACUGUUAGCACCCAUGGUAUCUGAGGGAGAACUUACAGAAUUUGUUUACCUAUGUUAUAUAUAAGACAAUAGAUUGUAUAUACAAAUAUAGAAAACAUUUCACUUGUUUGUAUGUGCACUAUAUGUAUUUUGAGUGCAGAUCAAGUAUGUAAUGGUCCCACUUAUUAUUAGUUUCAUUUUUUUACAAUUUCAUAACUGUGGCCUAAAAAUAGUAGGUGGAAAAUUUUAGAAGCAAUCCACACAUAUGUGUUAAAUUACACGACAUUUUGAGUACCGGGAUAAAUUCUCAUUCUGUAUUGCUUCUUCUUGCCCAAAAUAUAACUCAUUUCUCUGGUCAGUGCAUCUGCUCUGUAUAUCUUGCCUGCUACCUCCAUGAUCAGAACCAUUUAGGAACAGUGUAGGGUCUGUAUUCAAAUCAACCUGUUAUGCUUAGCAGUGUCUCAGUCAUGAUACUGAAAACUGAAUAUGUUAGAGAAAAAUUGGCUAGUGUCUUCUUCAAGUGAAAUGUAAAGGUCUCCACUUGAGGGGGGUUUUAUAGAGCUAUCAUGUUGUUAAAUCAUAUACUAGGCAUGUUUUAUAAAUUAACCUAUGUUAUAGAUAUGUAUGUACAAGAGAAAAGCAUGGUGCAUAUAGGGGCUGGUAUUAUUUGUGAUUUCUGAUAUUCACUGUAUUCUUGGAACACAGAAUUGUAUACCAUUGGCUUUCCCCAACCCUAAUGUUGUAUGUUUAAUGGAGACUUUGUUCUGUGACUAUUAAUCAAGUUCUGAACUCUACCAAGGAAGCACACACUUAUAUACACUUUCCUUACUAAGAAAAUGUUUCUCAUUUGUUCAAUCCAUUUACAGAUGGAGCUUCAUGGUAUGGGUAUCUGUGGUGUGGCCAAAGAAAAAUAAGGCAAGAAGAGGGAGAAAGAGGUUCUGGUUUAUUAUGGGUGCUAUAAGUAGAUGCCCAAAAUUCCCAAUGGAAAAAAUGCCCCCAGGCACACCACUCAUGGCGACUUCCAAAGUUUGUUCUCAGUAACUGCAUUCACACAAUACAUAAUUUUAACAGAUCCAUUUAUGGCUUUGAAAUGUGAAGUGUCCAAUGAAGAGAAGAAAUACUUAAAAGAGGAAAACUGGAAAAUAUUAAGAGCUGGACGGAGUUACUGAAAAACAGCCAGGUAGUGUGACUUUAGUUAAUAUAAAGGGCAAAUGUCUGGCCAUCUUUCAGUAUUUGCAAGAGCUCUACUCAUUAAGAUGUAUAAGGAUGGUUUUGAAUCAUUAGGAAAAGGUGAAGUUAUGUGUCUAUCUUAGCAUAUUCUGGGAAAAAAAUUAAAACAGUUCCAUUUA
RNAcentral lists this long non-coding RNA (2331 nucleotides) under Mus musculus (house mouse). Its description in RNAcentral is "predicted gene, 19744". Lineage: Eukaryota; Metazoa; Chordata; Mammalia; Rodentia; Muridae. The record is from RNAcentral.